This 458-nucleotide ribosomal RNA is filed under the name uncultured bacterium. RNAcentral's name for it is "partial 16S ribosomal RNA". It matches the Rfam family "Bacterial small subunit ribosomal RNA", at positions 338 to 795 of the family's 1533-position model. The record is from RNAcentral.
CCUACGGGAGGCUGCAGUGAGGAAUAUUGGUCAAUGGGCGAGAGCCUGAACCAGCCAAGUCGCGUGAGGGAGUACUGCCCUAUGGGUUGUAAACCUCUUUUGUCGGGGAGCAAAAGCCGGACGUGUCCGGCUGUGAGAGUACCCGAAGAAAAAGCAUCGGCUAACUCCGUGACAGCAGCCGCGGUAAUACGGAGGAUGCGAGCGUUAUCCGGAUUUAUUGGGUUUAAAGGGUGCGCAGGCGGAUUUUUAAGUCAGCGGUAAAAUCGUGGGGCUCAACCCCAUCCAGCCGUUGAAACUGGGGAUCUAGAGUGUGCGAGAGGUAUGCGGAAGGCGUGGUGUAGCGGUGAAAUGCAUAGAUAUCACGCAGAACCCCGAUUGCGAAGGCAGCAUACCGGUGCACAACUGACGCUCAGGCACGAAAGCGUGGGUAUCGAACAGGAUUAGAUACCCCAGUAGUC